Molecule: long non-coding RNA, 3696 nt
Filed under: Salmo salar (Atlantic salmon)
Lineage: Eukaryota; Metazoa; Chordata; Actinopteri; Salmoniformes; Salmonidae
Description: lncRNA (ENSSSAG00000121903.1)
Source: RNAcentral
CCUGGUCAUCCCUACUGCCUCUGAUCUGGAGGACUCACUAAACAGAGAACAUCCCUGGUUAUCCCUACUGCCUCUGAUCUGGUGGACUCACUAAACAGAGAACAUCCCUGGUCAUCCCUACUGCCUCUGAUCUGGAGGACUCACUAAACAGAGAACAUCCCUGGUUAUCCCUACUGCCUCUGAUCUGGUGGACUCACUAAACAGAGAACAUCCCUGGUCCUCCCUACUGCCUCUGAUCUGGAGGACUCACUAAACAGAGAACAUCCCUGGUCAUCCCUACUGCCUCUGAUCUGGAGGACUCACUAAACAGAGAACAUCCCUGGUCGUCCCUACUGCCUCUGAUCUGGAGGACUCACUAAACAGAGAACAUCCCUGGUCAUCCCUACUGCCUCUGAUCUGGUGGACUCACUAAACAGAGAACAUCCCUGGUCAUCCCUACUGCCUCUGAUCUGGAAGACUCACUAAACAGAGAACAUCCCUGGUCAUCCCUACUGCCUCUGAUCUGGUGGACUCACUAAACAGAGAACAUCCCUGGUCAUCCCUACUGCCUCUGAUCUGGAGGACUCACUAAACAGAGAACAUCCUUGGUCAUCCCUACUGCCUCUGAUCUGGAGGACUCACUAAACAGAGAACAUCCCUGGUUAUCCCUACUGCCUCUGAUCUGGUGGACUCACUAAACAGAGAACAUCCCUGGUCAUCCCUACUGCCUCUGAUCUGGAGGACUCACUAAACAGAGAACAUCCCUGGUCAUCCCUACUGCCUCUGAUCUGGAGGACUCACUAAACAGAGAACAUCCCUGGUCGUCCCUACUGCCUCUGAUCUGGAGGACUCACUAAACAGAGAACAUCCCUGGUUAUCCCUACUGCCUCUGAUCUGGUGGACUCACUAAACAGAGAACAUCCCUGGUCAUCCCUACUGCCUCUGAUCUGGAAGACUCACUAAACAGAGAACAUCCCUGGUCAUCCCUACAGCCUCUGAUCUGGAGGACUCACUAAAUAGAGAACAUCCCUGGUUAUCCCUACUGCCUCUGAUCUGGUGGACUCACUAAACAGAGAACAUCCCUGGUCAUCCCUACUGCCUCUGAUCUGGAGGACUCACUAAACAGAGAACAUCCUUGGUCAUCCCUACUGCCUCUGAUCUGGAGGACUCACUAAACAGAGAACAUCCCUGGUUAUCCCUACUGCCUCUGAUCUGGUGGACUCACUAAACAGAGUACAUCCCUGGUCAUCCCUACUGCCUCUGAUCUGGAGGACUCACUAAACAGAGAACAUCCUUGGUCCUCCCUACUGCCUCUGAUCUGGAGUGUACCCCUGGCUAUCCAUAAAUAAAAUAAAAACAAGAAAAUGGUGCUUUUCUGCUUAAUAGAAGGAAUUUGAAAAAAACAUAUAUUUUUUUUAACUUUUGAUACUUAAGGAUAUUUUUAUAAAUGUACUUUUGAUACUUCAGUAUAUUUAAAACCAAAAUACCUUUAGACUUUUACUCAAGUAGUAUUUUACUAGGUGACUCACUUUUACUUGAGUCAUUUUCUAUGUAUCUUUUGUAUCUUUAGUACUUUUUCCACCAUUGAGUUUGUUUUUAUUAUAUUUGAGUACGCGAGUUAGUUUUAAAAAAAGGGUCUAUGCAGGUAGUUUGGGUAUUUAGCAGGCAGUCUUAUGCCUUGGAUGUCACAUCCUGACCAGUAAUAGGGGAUAUUUGUUAUUGUAGUUUGGUCAGGACGUGGCAGAGGGUAUUUGUUAUUGUAGUUUGGUCAGGACGUGGCAGAGGGGUAUUUGUUAUUGUAGUUUGGUCAGGACGUGGCAGAGGGGUAUUUGUUAUUGUAGUUUGGUCAGGACGUGGCAGAGGGGUAUUUGUUAUUGUAGUUUGGUCAGGACGUGGCAGAGGGGUUAUUUGUUAUUGUAGUUUGGUCAGGACGUGGCAGAGGGGUAUUUGUUAUUGUAGUUUGGUCAGGACGUGGCAGAGGGGUAUUUGUUAUUGUAGUUUGGUCAGGACGUGGCAGAGGGGUAUUUGUUAUUGUAGUUUGGUCAGGACGUGGCAGAGGGGUAUUUGUUAUUGUAGUUUGGUCAGGACGUGGCAGAGGGGUAUUUGUUUUAUGUGGUUUGGUCAGGACGUGGCAGAGGGGUAUUUGUUAUUGUAGUUUGGUCAGGACGUGGCAGAGGGUUAUUUGUUAUUGUAGUUUGGUCAGGACGUGGCAGAGGGGGUAUUUGUUAUUGUAGUUUGGUCAGGACGUGGCAGAGGGGUUAUUUGUUAUUGUAGUUUGGUCAGGACGUGGCAGAGGGUGUUUGUAUUGUAGUUUGGUCAGGACGUGGCAGAGGGUAUUUGUUUUAUGUGGUUCGGGGUGGUGGUUUGUUUAGAAGGGUGUUUGAUUUAUUAUUUCCGGGUUUUGGGUAAUGUUCUAUGUUCUCUCUAGUUUAGUAUUUCUAUGUCUAGGUAAUUGGGUGUUGGACUCUCAAUUGGAGGCAGGUGUUUUUAGUUGUCUCUGAUUGAGAGUCCUAUAUAUAGGUAUGUGUUGGUAUUAGUGUUUGGUGGGAGAUUGUUUCUGUGUGUAGCUCCAAGCCUUACAGGACUGUUAUUCGUCGUUGUUUCUUUGUUGUUGUGUACGUGUUUAUUUUUGGUUUCACCUUCUUCUUCGCCAACUAAUUAAAAAAAGAAGAUGAGUGCACAUUUCCCCGCUGCGUCUUGGUCCGCUUUAUCCGACGACAACCGUUACAUUACAUACGGUCCUGUUGGUUCCGGACUCGGUGUAAUGGUUCCUCCUGCCGUUCAGUAGCAGAGAGAACAAUCUAUGACUUGGGGUGGCUGGAGUCUUUGACAAUUUUUUUGGGGGGGGCUUCCUCUGACACCGCCUGGUAUCGAGGUCCUGGAUGGCAGGGAGUUCGGCCCCAUGUGAUGUCCUGGGCCGUACUCACCAACUGCCUUGCGGUGAAGCAGCCAGUGAAGAUGCCCUCAAUGCUGUAUAACUUUUUGAGGAUCUGAGGGCCAAUGCCAAGUCUUUUCGGCCUCCGCUUGUCGUGCCCUCUUCACAAUUGUGUGGACCAUUUGAAUGACUUAGUGAUGACACCGAGGAAAGCCCGUUCCACUACAGCCCCUUUGAUGUGGAUGAAGGUGUGCUCGCACCUCUGUUUCCUAUAGUCCACGAUCAUCUCCUUUGUCUUGCUGACGUUGAGGGAGAGGUUGUUGUCCUGGCACAACACUGCCAGGUCUCUGACCUCCUCCGUGUUCACUGCCGCUCUCUAUAAGGACAUGGGAUUUUGUUCUGUUAUAAAUAUAAAUCCCAAACAGUUUAACUUCAGUUUACUCUGACAGUUGAACUUUCCUAUUCAGAAGAGACUUAACAUUCCCAAAUCUUUCACUGUUGUUUCUUUAACCAGUCAGUCCUCUACCCUAUAUUCCCUAGGUUUAUUACGGGUGCUAGCUACAAAACUCACCACUGUGUUUUAUAUCAAAAGGUGAGUUGGACCUCGCUGUCCGUGAGACGAGAACAACACGCUCUCGUGUUUGUCUAUAAAGCACUUCUGAAUAAACUACCUUCUUAUUUAUCAUCACUCAUCAAUAUUAGAAUUAUAAUUCAUGAAACCAGGUCUCAAGCAUGGAAAAGGAGACAGCAUGAAUAUCAUAUGAGCAGAUUUACUGUAUUACCUCAAUUAGCCAGGAAAUCCCUAGUUUGAAAGCAACUGUUUUUCUGUAUGCUGUGCUGCU